AAUGAGUCAUGCAGCUUCUAGCCAUCCAGAAUCAGAAUUCAGUGUUAAGCGCCCAUGGCUUGUCCUUCCAGUAUCACUUGUUUUUUGAGCAAGUUAUAUACCUAAGGCAUUUUGUUCUGUUUAGCUAAGCAGCACUGUGCACAAUGAUCUGUUUUGCCAAGUUUAUGUGAGAAUCUUGUUAACGUUGUCGUGAUCGUAUUGUUGAUUCUUAAUUCUUAAAAUCCUGGUUUGGAAUUUUCAUUAAUCUGGUACUCCUACCAGAAUGGAUUAGCACC
This 275-nucleotide small RNA is filed under the name Oryza sativa Japonica Group (Japanese rice). Its description in RNAcentral is "sRNA rig". Lineage: Eukaryota; Viridiplantae; Streptophyta; Magnoliopsida; Poales; Poaceae. The record is from RNAcentral.